UUGUUGCAAGACUUCUUCAACGGGAAGGAGCUCUGCAAGAGCAUUAAUCCUGAUGAGGCCGUUGCUUAUGGUGCUGCGGUUCAGGCUGCUAUCUUGAGUGGUGAAGGAAAUGAGAAGGUUCAGGAUCUAUUGCUUUUGGAUGUCACUCCUUUGUCCCUUGGACUCGAAACUGCUGGUGGUGUUAUGACUGUUUUGAUUCCGAGAAACACUACCAUUCCCACCAAGAAGGAGCAGGUGUUUUCAACUUACUCUGAUAACCAACCUGGUGUCUUGAUCCAAGUUUAUGAGGGUGAGAGAGCUCGAACCCGGGACAAUAAUUUGUUGGGUAAAUUCGAGCUCUCUGGCAUUCCACCAGCACCCAGAGGCGUUCCCCAAAUUACAGUUUGCUUCGACAUUGAUGCUAAUGGCAUCUUGAAUGUCUCUGCCGAGGACAAGACUACUGGCCAGAAGAACAAGAUUACUAUAACAAACGACAAGGGUCGGUUGUCGAAGGAAGAAAUCGAGAAGAUGGUUCAAGAAGCCGAGAAGUACAAGUCCGAGGAUGAGGAGCACAAGAAGAAGGUUGAAGCCAAGAAUUCAUUGGAGAACUAUGCCUACAACAUGAGGAAUACUAUCAAGGAUGAGAAGAUUGGUUCAAAGCUUGACCCGGCUGACAAGAAGAAGAUUGAAGAUGCCAUUGAUGGAGCAAUCCAAUGGUUGGAUGGCAACCAGCUAGCCGAGGCCGAUGAAUUCGAGGAUAAGAUGAAGGAGCUCGAGAGCAUCUGCAAUCCUAUCAUUGCCAAGAUGUACCAAGGUGCAGGGGCUGACAUGGGUGGUGGCAUGGACGAGGAUGCCCCACCUACCGGUGGCAGCGGUGCUGGACCUAAGAUAGAAGAAGUCGACUAAAUCAAAUAUUAAGAUAGUAUUUUGACGAUGUUUAACAGCUUCUGCUGGUGCUAUAUUUUAUGUUUUCAGCAACCUAUGUUUUGAUGUAAUGAAAAAUCUGGUUUAUUUUUGGGAACAUUACCAUCUUAGGUAAUGAAUGUUCCCCGUUUUAAGAAUUAUAUCAGCUUCUCUAUAUUAAUGUUUAGUUUUAUCUUCAUCAUUGUGUUUAGGUUAUAUGUUUUUUUUCUUCCUUGAAUCGUUACGACAGCAAGUCUUUGGCUGUUACAAUUGUUAUUGGCAUGAAAUGUGGUGGAAAACUGUGUUUCAUCUGGUAAACGAUGGACUCGGGAGCUAAAAUAAUAUAUAAUUGGAGUUCUCGAAGAAAUUGACACGAAUAAAAAAUAUUGAUGUAAUAUAAAUAUUCAAAUAUGAAUCAAUUAGUUCUCUAUCUUGAAUUGCUUCAUUUGAAUCAUUUUAAUUAACAACAAUAUCAAAUUUUUUUAGGGUAAUAGACUUGGAAAUUGUUUUUGUAUCGAAAUUUUUGGUGGACUAACGUAGUAAGAACAAAUUUGGAUAAAAAAAAGGAUUACGUCUUAGUAUGUUGACAAUUAUCAAAUUUAAACAUCAAUUUCGACAAAAAAAAAAGAUUUUAGUGUGAAAAUAAUUGUAAGUCGAAAAAUGCAUUUAACCCUAAAUCAAACAUCAAAAGACUAUGUUAGCUUUAAAUUAAAUAGGGUUAUGGUCAUUUACUAUUUUAAAUUUAGAAUUUAUAUGAUACGAUGAUAUCAUUUCAAAAGAUCUUUGUAAAAUAAAAAUGUACACUUUUUAAGUUUCUCUUCUUUCUUUCUUCUCAUUUCAUUCCAUGCGUUUUUUUUUUCAGUUUGCAGAUCUAUUUUGUGGCUAUCUUUGUUGUCUUCAUAAGUUGUAAUGGAUAGAUGAUGGUGCCUAUCAUCGUUGAAACACCACCGACCAUCGAUAGUUUCUUUUAGAAAGUGAGUAGCUCUUUAUUGACUUUUUAAUCUGUUUCUGUUUUGAAAGCUUUAGAAUAAUAAAUCAUUUCAUGAGUUGGUUUGGACCGUGUAAUUUCAAGUUUUAUAUGUUUUUCUGUUUGUUUUUUUCAUUGUUUAAUAAUUCACUUGUAGAAGUUUUUGUCUACUCUUGUAGUACGCUUUUUAGUCUUAUUUAUGCUCGCAGUCUUGCUUUUGUGAGUAAUUUUAGGGUUGGUUUUGUCGCUAUCCCCUCUAGUUUGGUGGAUGCUCGGUUCUUUUACCGAUUUAUGCCUGUUGUUUUGGACAAUCUGAGGCUGAUUUUCUUAUUGUAUUAAGUUCUUGCAGUUACUUCUGAUAUGUUGAGCUUGAGUUGUGACAGAGCAGAUUGUCAACGUGUCAUAAUGUUCUAUUGAUGCUGAAGCUGAAGCUUUUAUUGUGUUGAUGGAGCUUGUCCUUCAGCGCGUACUACGAAUGUUUGUUGUUUCCCCCCAAUUGUAUGGUCUUAUUAAUUGAAUGAAUUAAUGAAUUUCUCUAUAAAAAAAUAGAAUUUAUAUUAUUUUACCUUGAUAAAAUUUAGUUAUUGUAUUUUUGUUAUACAUUUAGUUAGUCCUUUUAGUUGACACCCUUGAUUAUUUUGAUUAAAAUGUUGGAUUGAAUUUUUUAAAUAAAAUCCAUUCCAACUUAUCAUGCCAAAGUAGAUAUUAUUAUUAUUAUUAGAAAUGUGUUUUCCAAGAAAAACUCAUGUAAUCAUUUUAAUCGAAAUAGCUAAAGAUAUUAAUUAUUUGGAUUAAUUAACAUUAUUGUAAAAGUGGAUAAUCAAAUUAUAUGAAAUUUAAAUAUAACUUACACCUUAACAAGAUAGAGACUAAAUCUCAAAUGUGAGCGGAAUAAAAUCAAAGUUGAAUUUGACCAUUAUCUCAUAACACCUAAAAAGAGAGAGAAAAGGAUGGAGUUGUAAACAAGUAAUCAUGUAGGUUAGGUGUUUCUUCUAUAUAUAUAUAGUUUAAGUUGAAUUAUGUUUAUGGUUCCUCUACUAUGUUUUAACUUAAGAUUUAGCAUUGAUACUUUAAUUUGAUAUAAAUUGAUUAAUGUAUUUUUAUAAUAUCAUUAGUUAGUCCAAAUAAUCACACCAAAUGAAUUUUUUUUUGUAUGUGCGUGUUAAAAAGUUUUUUUUAAAGAAAAAUUCACUUCAUCAUUUUAAUUGGAAUAAUUAAGAAUACUAAUUAUUUGGACUAAUUAAUUUUAUUCUAAAAGUAGAGAACCAUGUAAUGUGAAAUUAAAAUGUAAAGACUAAAUUUGAAAUGUGAACACAGAAAAGAAAGACUAAAACUAGAAUGGACUAUUAUCUUAUGAUGGAAUGGAUUUGACACGUGUCAUUGAGAAAGGCUAAAGGGCAUUCCUUUUAUGUAUAGAGUAUAAUUGAAUGUUAAAAAAUAUAUGAAUAGAGAAUUCAAGAUUAGUUUCAAGUAGUGUAUUUAAUUAACACUUAAAUUUAAACAUUUUAUUGAGUUGAUAUCACCUUUAAUUGGGAUACCAACUUAGUUAUGCCGGUUUUUUACAUAAAUAAUAUAAAAAAAACUAAAAUGGGUUCUUGCAAGAAUUAUGUACCAAAAUGGGUUGUUCAAAUGGGUGGAGGGUGGUGCAUAGGCAACACCAUCCUCAUUCUGACACAAUAUUUUGAAAAAAAAUAUUUUAGUAGUGGUGCCAAAGGGAUAGGCGGCACCACUUUUCCAUUCUGGUAUACAUAGGUAAAAAAAUACGAAGGGGGUGUGGUGCCUAUCUGAUAGGCGGCACACCUAGUAUAUUCCCCCUACUCCCCCAUUCGGCUCGUAUCAAUUUAAAAAAAAUAUAGUAGAACAAGAGAGGGAGAAGAGAAGAAAGAAAGAAAAGAGAAUAAAGAAAUUGUAUUAUUAUUUUUAUUGUUAUUUUCAAAUAUAAUAGAUUAUGAUAAGAAAAAAUUAUUUUGUUAGUAUUAUAUAGUUUGUUUAGUGUUAUUUUUAUGUUUUGUUUUAAAGUUAUUUUGUUUAUUGUGAUUUGUUAGUAACUUUUGUGUUUAGAUUAUUGAGAAUGUUAUGUUUUAAAUUUUUUUAAUACAUUUGAAAGUUUUUAUGUUAGUAACUAUUAUAAAGUAAUUGUUAGUUAGUGAUAACAACAGGAAAAAAUAAAUAAAUACUGAAAAUAUUUUUGUCAUAGAUAUUGUUAGAAAUGACAAUACAUUUGAUAUUGUUAGAAAUGGUCUCUUUUCAUUCAUUAAAUUUUUUAUGUAAGUAUUUUUAUGCUGUUCGAAAUUGUUUUGAGAAUUUUUGUUUAUCUUUAACAGAUUGAGUAUUGAAGAUGGAUAAUCAGUUUUUCGUAUGCGUUUAUUUUGAUGGAAUAAUAUUGACAACAACCGUUGGAUGUAUAUUUGAAUGUCGGCAACAAAUAGCAAUGAGAUUUAAUAGCAAUGUUUCGUUCGAUGAUAUGAAGGAAAUGAUUAGUGCAAAAAUUGUUAAACGUUGUAGGAGAAGGAUCUUGAAACUUUUCUACAAGUUUCCAGUUUCGACAAAUCCUAUCAAAUUCACCGAAAUGGAACUUGUAGAUGAUGAAGACGUGGAGACAAUGAUCGCUCUUUAUUGUGGGAAUCGGAGUGACCAAAAUGCACUGAUUCACUUAUUUGUUGAGUUAGCCGGUGUGGAGCCAAAUGAAGAUCUCACUGCAUAUGGUGAAGAACAUAGAGCUCAAGAACCGUGCAUGGUGGCUCCAAUAUCGUAUGUUGAUAAUGAAUCGACUAUACACGGGAUCAAUAUCGAUCUUAACAUUGCACCCGAUAUUGAUGUGGUUGGUGAUGAUGGAUACGAUAGUAGUGAUCUUUGUGAUCAAGAGGUCGAUAGUGAUAGUGAUCCUAAUGUGGAAGAGGUCCCCGAUGAUAUUGACGACGAAGACGUGAAUGACGAUGGAAACAUUAAUGUGUCUUCAGUUGGGAACCAAAUUCAACAUAUUGUGAUACACAAUAAUCCUGGGCCACACAUGUCAUUCAUAGACCCUGACACGAUGCACGUAGUCGAGUUCCCGGAGUACCCUAAAAUACUACCUACUUAUCGGCUAGCUGUAAAUUCUGAUCCUGAGGAGUUGUUCGUAAGCCAGAGAUUCGAAAGUAAGGAAGAGUGCGUAUUUGCUAUUAAGCGGUAUAGCAUGAAUAUAUCGGUGGACUACAAAGUUACAGUGCCUAAACCGACAUUAUAUAUUGGGAAGUGUUGGAAGUCAGCAGAAGGCUGCAAUUGGCGGGUACGAGCUGCAUUUAUUCAAAAUUCACAGAUGUGGGUGAUACGUAAAUUUGUUGGGCCUCACACAUGCACAUCAACAUGUAUAACAGAAGAUCAUCAAAAAAUUGAUUCCAAAAUUAUCUGUACGUGUAUCAUGCCAAUGGUGAGGGACAUGCUGACCAUUAAAGUUUCGGUACUGAUUGUCGAAAUGCAGAUAUGAUUCCAGUAUCGAGUAUCAUACCGAAAGACGUGGAUAGCUAAAUAGAUGGCAAUGGAGCAAUUGUACGGGGAUUUCAAUGCGUCGUAUAAUGAGCUACAGUGAUGGAUAGCAGCUAUGCGGGAGUACGUACUAAGGACUGUCAUUGAGUUAGAAACACGACCUUAUUACGGCUCGGAUGACCAUUUACAACUGAGAAAAAGAAUUUUCCAUCGAAUAUUCUAGAUGUUUGAUCCAUGUGUGCGCACAUUUCCCCACUACAAGCCGUUUGUGCAAAUAAAUGAGACUUGGCUAUAUGGAAAAUAUACACAGAUCCUACUUCUUGCGGUUGCUCAAGACGACAAUAAGAACGUGCUCCUGAUAGCAUUUGCCAUCGUAGAUAAGGAGAACAUGGAAUCGUGAGAAUUCUUCCUUACCAACUUGCGGAGGUAUGUUAUUAGCAACGAUAAUAUUUGCAUCAUCCCCGAUAGAGGGAAAUGAGUAAUUGUCGCCAUUAGGCAUUCCGGUGUGCCAUGGAGAUCCGUUUACUGCAUCCGGUACAUCGCGACUAACUUCCAUCCAGAUUAUAAGAAUGCAGACUGGCAGAGACAAGUUGUGAGAAUGGGUAAAGGAUAACCUUAUCUUUUCAAUACAAGUUUUAAUGUUUUGGGGUAAUACUAUAACUUAUAUUUUCUUAAUACAUAUACAACGCAUGAGCUAGAGCCACACAUUUUCCACCAAAGAAUGACUUGAUGUAAUAGCCCGAUUUUGAUCCUAAUCGGAACGGUGGUUUCGGGACCACGAAUCUGAGUUAGAAAAAUAUUUUAAAAUUAUUUUCUGUGUUUAUUAUGUAUGAAUUUACUUGUGUGAAACUUUUGUGCUUUAAUUUUGUCGUUUGAGUGUUCGAUUAAAUAAAAGGAUUAAAUUGCGUAAAAUAAAAAUUUAGUGGUUAUUUCUAAAAGGGCCGAAUAGUGGUUGUUCUUUAAAUAUGGGGGUUUUAUGUUGCAAUUUGACCAUUGAAAAGAUAGUGGACAGCAUUGUGUUUAUAAUAUAUAGUUUUUAUAUUAUUUAUAAAGGUUAUAAUAAUAAUUUAUAUAUUAUAAUGUUAUUAUAAUAAAAACAAACCAUAAGAAAGUGGCCAUUUUCAUUAUAUUUGUGUCGAAUGAAAAGAGAAAGAAAAUAAGAAAACCAAGCUAGGUAUUCGGCCCUUGUUCAAGCAAAUUAAGGUAUGUUUCGGUUUCGGUUUUUGAUGAUUUUUAUGUUUUUGAGAUCGUUGCUUCUAAUACUACCCGACCCAUGCUUCAAUUUUUGAUUUUGAUGAAUAUUUUGAGUUAUGCCAUUGAUGAAUAAUUGUGUUUUGUGAUGUUUGAUGAUGAAUUAUUGAAGAUAUGUUUUGGGUUAGUAUGUUUUGUAUUGGAAAUUUUGAUGAAUUUGAGUAAUUAGGGCUAAAUUGAAAAAAUAAUAAAUUGAGGGACUAAAAUGUAAAACAAAUGAAUUUUGUGAGCUUGCAUAGGCAUAAUGAAUGUUCGGCCAAAGCUUGGUAUGUGUAAAUUUUGUAUGUUUUGUGUUUUAUGCAAAUUGGACUAAAUUGUAAAAAGUAUAAAAUGUUAGGGGUAAAAUAGUAAUUUUCUCAUUUAUGUGUUUUUGGAUUAAAUUGAAUGAAAUUGUGUUUAAAUGAGCUUAAUUUGAAAUUGUAUAGAUCAAGAACAAAAGAAAUCAGACUUGGAUCUGGGAAAAAAAAUAGUAGUUGAAUAGUCGUUUUAUAUACCCGUCGAUAUCCGAGGUAAGUCUAUAAGCAUCUAUAUAUACUGUUUAUUUUAAUUAAAUAUGAAUUUUAUAUGCUGAAAGGAAAUAUGUGAAAUUAUACAUGUGUUAAUCAAAUGAAAAUAAGCUUGGAAGCUAUGUUUAUGAAUUCGUUUCGACAGAGUUACGACGUCCGAAAGGCCCGUAUGAACCUUAGGAAUAGCUAGGAUACAUAUGUCAUGACAUAGGAUUUUCGAUAUGUGUUCUCGUGUAAGACCACGUCUGGGACGAUGGCAUCGAUAUAUGUGAUUACGUGUAAGACCAUGUCUAGGACAUUGGCAUCGUAUUUGAUUCGUGUAAGACCCUGUCUGAGACAGUAGCAUCGAUAUGAGAUAGCAUGUAAGACCACGUCUGGGACGUUGGCAUUGUUCGAUAUAUGUGAUUAUUCGAGUAUCCUAUUAAAUUCCGAAUGGUUCAGCGGGCAAUGAUAAGUUGUGAUUAAAGGUGUAAAACGAGCUAAAAUGAUCAGGUAUGAGUUACUUGACUACCUAUUUAAAAAUACGAUAACUUGGCCAGUUGGUAUGUGAUAUAAAUUAUAUAAGUUACUAAUGUGAACAUAUGUACAUUGGUGAAGUAUAUUCGGCCAUGUGUUAUGUAUAUGCAUAUGAUGUUAUAUUUUGGUUCAAAGUUAUAUGUAUAUGUGUGUAAAUAUAUAUUCGAAUAUAUAAUGAUAUUAUGUCUUUGAAUUGUAUGACACUUUGAAUAUAUAUACAUGUACAUUCGGUUAAGAUAAGAUUUAUUUAAGAAAACACAUGUUUUAUAUGAAACGUUAAGCUUGAGGUUAAAUGUGAUUAUGCUAGUAUAAUUUAAUUUGGUUAAAAAUGAGUUGAUAAUGUAGUUUAUAUUCGGUCAAAAUAUAUAUGUAAUAAUAAGGUUAAAAAUGAGAGUUGCACAUGUGAAUGACAUUAGAUAUAUAUUCGGCCAAAUGUUAAACUUAUGUGUAUUCGGUUAAAUAUGGAUUUGAUGUAUAGUAUAUGUUUGAUAAAUGUAUUUUUCGAUUAUGGAAAUGGAUAUGAAUUUUGAAAACAUUAUUUGAUUUUGUUGUAACUAAUUAAAUGUUGUUAAGUUAUUUAAUUGCUCAUGACUUACUAAGCUGUAAUAGCUUACUCUGUGUGUUUUUUUUCCCUAUACUUUUUAGAGUUCCAAAGACUUACUCGGGUUGGAAGUCGUUGGAGUCGUCAUCACACUAUUCGGUUAUCGUUUCGGUAAAUUAAGGCUUUGAGUUUUUGGUUAUGUGGCAUGUAUAGGCUAGUUUUAAUUUAGUUGUUGUUUAUAUAUUUAGCCAUGCGAAAAUGGCUUGAUCUAAUGCAAAUGAUCCGAGGUUUAAGUAAUUUUGGUCAUAGUAAAGGUGUGGGGUAUGCUUAGUAUAUGAAUUUGGUAAGACGUAAUGAUAUAUAUAUGGUUUAUAAUUAUUUUAUUUUGGUAAGCAUGAUAUGGAUGAUGGAUGUGUUAUGGUUGUGGUUGUGGUUUAUUAAUGAUGCUAAUGAUAGUGAUUUUCGGUAUUGUGUUAGCUUAAUUUGUAAGUAUGAAUUAUGGUUUAAUUUGUGUGAUGAAAUGGUAUUGAGAUUUGGCUUGAUUAAAUAGGUAAAAUACGAUAUAUAUUAAAGAUGAAAUAAUGGUUAUUUCGAUUUAUGUGAUGUAAUUAUAGGUGAUGGUUAUAAUCUAGUUUGUGAUUCGGCAUUGGUGAUCAAAUCAUGUAGUUAAGUAUUUAGUUAUAUGUUAAUUUUGAAUUUGGUUGUAUUCAUUAUGUAUGGACUAUGUUAUGCUAUGAAUAUUUGGUAAAUUGAAAUGAUUAAUUUGAGUAAAUUUGUAAUGGCAUGAGUACAUUGGUGAAAUGGAUUGAAAAUGGAAAUUGAUAUAUUAUUAUAUAUAUUUGAUUGAUGAAAUGUAAACAAAUAUAUAUGUCUUUGAUAAGUUAAUUUGAAUGACCGGAUAUAUAUAUAAUAAAUUGAUUUGGGUGCGUAUAUGAAAUUUUGACAUGAUUUAUACUGUAUGGAAUUGGCACGUUUUGAAUUGGCUAGAGUACUUGAAAAAUGGCUAAUGUUAGUCAAGUGAGUAAAGUAUGAAUUGGUUUUGCAUGUAUUUUAGGCUUAAUAAUUAGCAUGUGAAUUGGGUAUAAAUUGUAUGGUUAGUUUGCUAGCUGAAUAGAAGAUAAGAAGAAUGGCAAAACAUACAAAUGUUUUGUACUUAAAUGGGAAGUUAGGCAUGUAUGUCUUAUUAGUUGAGUUUAAAAAAAAAUGGUGUAUAUUUAUAAGGUUAAAUGCAUUUGUCGCUAAGAUGUUUAUAUGCUAAACUUGACUAUUUGGUGAAAUUGAUUAUGCUGCAUUUUCUAAAGGACAAUAAGCCGAGCAAUAUGGAUUGUUUGGUUUUAUGCACAUGAAUAGAAAUAUGAAUUAAUAUGUUUGAUAUUCAGCUUAAGAAGUAAAAAAAAAAAAUGCUUGGAUGUCUUAAUGUAUGCGUAUGGAAUUUGUAAUGUGAUGAGUCAUCUUAUAAUUUGAUUUUUGAAUGAUAUGAGUAAGAAGUAUAUAUGUUUCGAAUGGUAGGAUUUUAAAGCAUGUGUAAUAUGACUAUUUUGAGCCGUGUUUUUUUUAUGGUAAUGCCUUGUAACCCUAUUUCGGCGACGGAUAUGGGUUAUGGGUGUAAUGGCCCGAAUUUUCAGUGGUGUCAGAAUGGUGAUUCGAGAUCACUAAAUCUGACAAAUGAGUAGAAAAUAUUAUUAAUUUAGUGAGAAUAAGUAAUUGUGAAGUUGGGAAAAUUUUUGAAAUAGUGAAUAGUGUACUAGGAAUAAAUAUUAAAAUAAUUAAAAUCGAAAAUGAGGUAUCGAGACCUCAAAAUUUUAAACCGAGCCAUAAUUAUUUUUAGAAAUAUUUUUAGAGUGUCAUUGAGUUGGUAUUAAAGUUUCGUUAGAAAAUUUUAACGUUUGGAUAGUCAAUUAACUAAAAAGGACUAAAUUAAAAAUAGUGUAAAAUUUAUUAAAUUGUGAUUAAAUAGCUUAAGUGAUUAAAAAGGAGGGAUUUAAAAGGAAAUUAGGCCCAAAAUAUAUGGGCUGGACGGUUGGGCAAGAAAAAUCUGGAAAAGUGAUGUAAUAAGGGUAAAAUUGGAAAUUUUGUAAAAGUUAACAAAUAAAAAUCUCAAUUAAAAGAGUUUCUAGGAAAUUCUUCAUAAUUAUCAGCCAAAAAACGCCAUUGAAGAGUCCCUCCAAGCUGGUUUUUCAUAUAUUUGAAUCAUGUGAGUUUAAUUCUUGAUUAUUUCUUCUAAUUUUUGUGGUUUUGAUACUUUUACAAUUAGGUCCAACUAAUUGUUUCAUUAGUUAUUGAUUUUAUGGCUGAUUUUGAAAGUUACCAUUGAUGAAUACUGAAUUUUUAUGAUGAAUAAACAUGGAAUUAAAGCUUUGAUUUUGUUAUAUGAUGAUUCUAUUAAAGUAAUUUUGAUAGAAAUUGAUUUUAGGGACCUAAUUGUGAAAAAGUUGGGAAUUAGGGUUUGGUGUUGCUUUUUUGAAUAUGAAAGGCUAUGUAGUAGUCUAAAAUAGUUGGAAAAGGUGUUAAUUGAGAAAAAUUAGAUCAAUUGAGGGGUUAAUUGAGUAGGGACCAAAUUAUAAAAAUUGUAAAGUUUGGGGUAAAAGUGUAAUUCCGAGAAUUUAAGGGCAGAAACUGUGAAAUGAAUUAGAAUAGAAUUAUAUGCUGAUGAAUGAAUAAAUUUUCAUUUUAGAUCGAGAACCCGAAACAAGUCGAGGAAAAGAAAAAGUAGCUGAUUAGUCCUUGAACUUUUACAAAUUCAGCAAAUCGACCCAGGUAAGUUCAUAUGGCUGAAAUUUAAUGAUUAAAUGUUAAUUUCAUGAAUUAUUCAAUGUAUGAUGAAAUGUAUUUAUUGUUGAAGUGAGAAUAAAAUAAAAAUGUGAAAAUCGAAUAAAUGAUCAAAUUAAGUGGAACACCGGAUUUGAGUACUUCUGAUCAAGAGAUAAAGUGAUAAGUGGUAGCUUUAGCUACACUUAUCUGAUCAAGUGAAAAAGUGAUAAGUGCUACACUUAUCUGAUCAAGAGACAAAGUGAUAAGUGGUAGCUUUAGCUACACUUAUCUGAUCAAGUGAAAAAGUGAUAAGUGCUAUACUUAUCUGAUCAAGUGAAAAAGUGAUAAGUGCUACACUUAUCUGAUCAAGUGACAAAGUAAUAAGUGGUAGCUUAGCUACACUUAUUUGAUUAGGGACGUAAGACCAUAGUUAUACUAUGGCAAGUGGAAGUGAAGUACUCAAUUUUCCGUAACUGUUCCUUAAUUUUGAUCAAGGAUGGUAAGUGACAAAUGGGCCCAAAGGAAUUAUGGUAAAAGAAUAAGUAGUAGUGAGUUCAUACCAAGGAAUUCACCAAAGAUUGUGGUUGACAGGUAAACUUAGUAAUGGUGUAUAUCGUAUAAGUGUACAAAUGUUUGGUAAGAUUUAUGUUUUAUGCCUAUGAACUUACUAAGCUUUUCUAUAAGCUUACAUGUGUGUGUUUAUUGUUUUUGUAGAUUAACGUAUUUAUACAUUCGGAGGAUCGGAUCUACAUCGAGAAUCACACUAUCCAGAUAUACUCCGGUAGAUUAUGUUAAGCAACUUUUUGGAUUUAUAUGGCAUGUAUAGGGAAUUGAAGUAAAAGUAAAUUUGAAUGUGAUGGUUGUGUUAGACAUUGAAAAAUACAUGUUUUUAGUUUGAUAUGGUUGAUUGGUUGAACUUCAUUAGUAUUCAAGUGAAGUAGUUGAAAUACUGAAAUUGGUUGUAAUUUGAAAUUUUGCAGGGAAGGUUAGGUAAUUAUAAAGGGGUUAUAUUGAAUUUUUUUUAAAAAUUUUAAUGGAAUAGUUUUUGGACAGCAGCAGUGAUGUAACUUUUAAAAAUCACUAAAAAUAGUGGAAAUAGAAUUAGAAGUUGAGUGAGAUAUGAAAUUAAAGCUGAAUGAGUCUACUUUCACAUGAAAGAAGUAGAGUAAGCAAAAGAAUUAUAUACUUUUAGAUAUUUGAAAUUUUAGUGAAACAGGGCAAUGAUGUUUUUGAAGUCCCCUGUUCUGAAUUUAGAAAUUCAUUAAAAAUUGUACAGAAGGAAUUAUGAGUUAUAAUUUAUAUGUAUAGAUUCCUUAAUGAGUCUAUUUUCAUUAGAAAUAAGUGGAAGCACAAUAUGAAGUCUGUAAUAAGAGAUAAUUGAAUUUUAGUGAUGAGUGGUCAGGAUAGUCGAUCAGUGAAACAGGGGAGACUUCAACUAAUAAACUGUACUAAUUGGCUAAACAAAAAAUUCUGAAAAUUUUAUAGUGAAUAGAUAUAUGAGUCUAGUUUCAAGGAAAAUUUACAGAUCUAAAUUUUGAGUUUCAUAGCUCGAGUUGUAAUUAUUUUAGUGACUGCUGCUUAGGUGGACAACUUUAUUAUGAAUGGUGAAAUUAAUUUUGAAAGUAAAUUUUUAUGCCCCGAACUUUUAAGUUAAGUCAAGUAAUGCCUCAUGCUCGACUCCGGCAAUGGUCUCGGGUAAGGAGUGUUACAAUGGGUGCUACACUUGACAUUGAGAGUGACAUGGAGGGUUAAAUGAACACAUCUUUUCGACAACGGUUGGGUACCAUGGAGCAGUGGCAAUGGGCUCAAAGUUUUGACGAGGGAUUUCGUUAUGGUCAAAUGACCACAAACUUGGUGGAGGGGAUUAAUGCUGUGUUGUUGAAAACAUGACAUCUUUCGAUUUCAUCUGUCUUCUCAGCUACAUUCUACAGGUUGACUACCUUGAUGCCAAGAAUGGGUCAGCAACAAGUCAACUAGAUGGAGGCGAGACACGUGUUUGUCGAAGAUGUUAGGGAUGUAAUGGUUGCAAACCAUUGGAUAGCGAGGUCGAUGAAUGUAGAAGUAUAUUCACGAUUUCUUGAAACGUUUCGAGUUACGGAGACCAUUGGUUGUCGACCUAGUAUACCACCUAGGUCCUAUGGAGUUGAUCUCUAAAACAGACGGUGCAAUUGUAGGAGGUUCCAAACACUUCAUUAUCCAUGUGUGCAUGUUGUGGUAGCGUGUGCUAAAGUCUAGCUCAAUGUUGAACAAUUUUUGGAUGAUGUGUACACCCUCAAGCGCACGUUGCGUGUUUGGGAGAAUGAGUUCCCCGUCCUGCCUGACCUGUCUACGUGAGAGGUGCCUCCGACAACUUUUGAGCUUGUCCCAAACAAAGGGUUGCGUAGGAAUCUGAAAGGUCAUCCGAAAUCAUCCAUAAUUCGUAAUGAAAUGGAUAUUAGGGAGAAAUCUGACAGUAAGCGUUGACCUGUCUACGUGGGAGGUGCCUCCGACAACUUUCGAGCUUGUUCCAGACAAAGGGUUGCAUAGGAAUCCGAAAGGUCAUCCGCAAUAAUCCAAAAUUCGUAAUGAAAUGGACAUUAGGGAGAAAUUUGACGGUAAGCGUUGUGGAUUAUACAAAUUAGCUGGUCAUAAUCGGAGUAAACGCCCGCAGCGAAACUACCAUGUUGGACAAUCGUCACGUUCGGGUUGGAAUUGAGCUUCUAUAAUCCAAAGUACCUAAUUUAUAUUACAAAGUUUGUUCCAAUUUUUAAUGUUGUAAUGUAUUUAAUUUAUAUUACAAAAUUUAUAUUACAAAGUUUGUUCCAAUUUUUAAUGUUGUAAUGUAUUUAAUUUGUAUUACAAAAUUUAUAGUACAAAGCUUUUUCUAAUUUUAGUGUUUUAAUGUUGUAAUGCUGCAAUUAAUCUAAUUUAUGACCACAAAGUUUGUUCCAAGUUUUAAUGUUGCAAUUAAUCUAAUUAAAUAAAUACAAAUAUUGUCUUUUUCUUGAUUUAUAUUUUUUUAAAAUAAAAAAGUACAAACUUUGUAAUAUUUAAAUUGCAAAAAACUUCUAAAAUCCUCUAAAAUUGAUGGUUUGGUGGUGUGGUCUAAGGGUAUAUUUCUGCGGCGAUUAAUUUUCUCUUUAGUCGUAGGUGGGGGUGUGCGAAACAUGGAAGAAAAAUCAUUGCCCUGAAUGCCAUCGAUGAACUUGAGUCGAGAGGAGUGCUGUACUGCGGUGGAUACGACCAGUAGGAGUGGAGUAAUGCGGUGGAUACGGGUCGAGAAGAGUGUUGUACUACGGUGAUACUGGAUUAAAGGUAUCAAACCCAGAAUGAUAUCCGUGUCCUAACGAGCCCGAGAAAUAGUCAUUGACCCGCAACUCCGAAUGAUAAGAACUACCGGUGGAAUGUGUAUGCGACUGCUCGAGCUCGGGCUCAGGCUCAGGCUCUGGUUCGACCUCUAUAUCGGACACUGGCUCGUAUGCCCCAGGUCGGUGCACGUGCGGGAGGACUACAGUCGACUGCCCACCAAGUAUAUAUGGUUUUCCCGUACUAGAGUACCAUUGUAUGUACUCUAACGAUGGUUGCAAAUCGGAAGAAAUAUCCAUCUGAGGUCUCCGCGCCAUCCUAUUAUCCCACAAUGCAACAUAUUUUCGGUGCACAACCCUCAAAUUAUUUCUAUGUUUUCCUCUCUUGUUGAUCCCGUGAAUCUUCCCUACCUGCAUUGGAGGAUUCGGGAUGUACUGGAUGCAACCAAACUGCCAAAGUACUUAAUUCCAGUUAUACCACUUGGUUGUUUAGAAAUUGAUAAUUUGUGCGUUAAUGCACCAUAGGUGAGAAUAAAUGUGGGCAGACGAGGCUAUAACAGUCGCAAUAUAUGGUCUCCGAUUCGACAUCCAGAUAAACUGCAGGAUUAAUAACACGGAUAAAAUUUAACACGAUUUGAGUAAGCUAUACAAAGUAAUUACAUGUCAUGAAUAUUGGAAUAACUUACCCCUUCCUUAGCAUGUUGUUCAAUCAUCAGACGAUAUAUCGGGACAGUGUACGACCUCCCAAUACCCAGAUAAAGACUCCAUCUAUGAAAACAAAUUACAUGUUUGAAUAGUAUCGUUAGAAUAGUAUCAUUAGAAAAAAAUGUCAAUUAAUAACAAGUAAAAUUUUAUCACUUGUUCACUAGUGGAAAUACAUAUGGUUAGUGCCUAACCGAUGCCAAGAAUGGCAUCCGAUAAAGAGCCCAUGACUGCAGCAAUAGAAGGCAUCCGCCUAUGUCUACAACAUCAGGCUUUGUUGUCCAACAAAGCUUAUGAUACAACAUAGCCAGAAUUGCGGAACCCCAACUAUACGAGCGAACAUUCUGCAAAUCAACUAAUAGGGGUAAAUACAUCAAAUGAACCUUGUUGUUGUUCCCAUCCGGCAUCAGUACACCCCCUAUAAUAUGUAUAAUGUACGCUUGAGCUGCGCACAUCACCUCAUUCUCAGUGGUAUUAAUUGAUAAAUUUUCAAAAGUGGCUUUCAGCCAUGAAAAUUUCAAGCCUAUAAAUUUGAACUCAGCAUCGUCAGGCAAGGACAAGACUCCUAGUAGGCUAUAACAAAGGGAAGCCGGCUUAGCUAUUGCACUUACGCCCGUUACGACAUUCCUGUCGAUUGGGAGCCCAAGUUGCAAUGCAACAUCCUCCAGAGUGACAGUGCACUCCCCAUACGAUAAAUGAAAGUGUGGGUCUCUGGGCGUCAACGCUAGACCAAUGCGGAUAUUAAAUCGUACCGCAAGUCAAACGUCCGGAUCAAUGCUGCUGACCCGAAUCUAGCUAACUCCAAGUAUGACAUCAGUCGUUCAUCCAGGGAAUAUCGUAAACCAUUCACCCGACCCCUUAACGCGCGAUACGGGCCUUGCCAGUAUUAAAUUACAGAAAAUAGUUAUAAUAACAUAAUUUAUUUCCGUAAAUUACGUAGAUCUUUUUUUAAGGGAACCUAUGGUUAACAAAUAGCAAUAUAUUACCAUAUUAUUAAUUGUGUUUGAUAUGUGACCAUUGUUCUUAAUCAAUGAACCCAUUGCGAUACCUGCAAUUUCAAAAGAAAUUUCGGUUAUUAAUUUCAAAGUUUGAUGGAUUUAAAUAUUUAUAAAAAUACCUAAAUUUUAUAUAUUGCUUUUAAUUACAAAAAACAUACCAAAUAGUUUUGUCCACAUCAUAUCUUUUGCUAUACUACAUUAACAAAAUAAAUAUAUCUUAUAAAUUCCAACUCAAACUCCAACUCAAUGGUCCUAUUCACAAAUUUCAUCUCAAUGGUUUAAUCUUUUACCUACAUAAAAAAUAAAAAGUUCAUAUUAAAAUAAUAAAAAAUAACAUGCCAAUAAAAAAAUAUAACAAAAACAUAACAUAAACGAUACAUAAUAAAUAAAAAUAUUAUUAUUAUUAUUUUAAAAUGAUAAUAAGUAAAAUGUAUUGGUUUAAAAUAUAAUAUAUAUAAUAACAUGCCAACUUAAUUAUUGUCAAAAAAUAUAAUUUUUUUUGAAUAGAACUUCAAAAGAAAUUUCAUUUAUAAUAUUUAUAAAUAACAUAAAAUAAAAUUUAAAAACAUAAACUCUUAUUCUCAAUUAUAAAAUCUUAAAAAAUUAGAACAUAUAAACUAAUUCCUAAUUUAUCUAAUAAAUCCCAAAUUUCAUAUCAAUGGUCUUAUCUUUUACCUACAUAAAAAAUAAAAAAAUAUUAAAAUAAUCAAAAUAACAUGCCAAAUAAAUUUCAUAAAAAAUAAAUCUAAUCAACCUAAAACACACAUAACAAAU
This 16637-nucleotide long non-coding RNA is filed under the name Gossypium barbadense (sea-island cotton). Its description in RNAcentral is "long non-coding RNA (GBAR_LNC017395)". Lineage: Eukaryota; Viridiplantae; Streptophyta; Magnoliopsida; Malvales; Malvaceae. The record is from RNAcentral.